GAUGAACGCUGGCGGCGUGCCUAAUACAUGCAAGUCGAGCGAACAGACGAGGAGCUUGCUCCUCUGACGUUAGCGGCGGACGGGUGAGUAACACGUGGAUAACCUACCUAUAAGACUGGGAUAACUUCGGGAAACCGGAGCUAAUACCGGAUAAUAUAUUGAACCGCAUGGUUCAAUAGUGAAAGACGGUUUUGCUGUCACUUAUAGAUGGAUCCGCGCCGCAUUAGCUAGUUGGUAAGGUAACGGCUUACCAAGGCAACGAUGCGUAGCCGACCUGAGAGGGUGAUCGGCCACACUGGAACUGAGACCCGGUCCAGACUCCUACGGGAGGCAGCAGUAGGGAAUCUUCCGCAGUGGGCGAAAGCCUGACGGAGCAACGCCGCGUGAGUGAUGAAGGUCUUCGGAUCGUAAAACUCUGUUAUUAGGGAAGAACAAAUGUGUAAGUAACUAUGCACGUCUUGACGGUACCUAAUCAGAAAGCCACGGCUAACUACGU
RNAcentral lists this ribosomal RNA (496 nucleotides) under uncultured bacterium. Its description in RNAcentral is "partial 16S ribosomal RNA". It matches the Rfam family "Bacterial small subunit ribosomal RNA", at positions 28 to 506 of the family's 1533-position model. The record is from RNAcentral.